This 164-nucleotide ribosomal RNA is filed under the name Lysiphyllum carronii. RNAcentral describes it as "5.8S ribosomal RNA". It matches the Rfam family "5.8S ribosomal RNA". Rfam says of the family: 5.8S ribosomal RNA (5.8S rRNA) is a component of the large subunit of the eukaryotic ribosome. It is transcribed by RNA polymerase I as part of the 45S precursor that also contains 18S and 28S rRNA. Functionally, it is thought that 5.8S rRNA may be involved in ribosome translocation. RNAcentral also lists the same sequence under 1 other name. Lineage: Eukaryota; Viridiplantae; Streptophyta; Magnoliopsida; Fabales; Fabaceae. The record is from RNAcentral.
CAAAACGACUCUCGGCAACGGAUAUCUCGGCUCUCGCAUCGAUGAAGAACGUAGCGAAAUGCGAUACUUGGUGUGAAUUGCAGAAUCCCGUGAACCAUCGAGUCUUUGAACGCAAGUUGCGCCCGAAGCCAUUAGGCUAAGGGCACGUCUGCCUGGGUGUCAAA